RNAcentral lists this long non-coding RNA (512 nucleotides) under Hordeum vulgare. RNAcentral describes it as "long non-coding RNA (HVUL_LNC006027)". Lineage: Eukaryota; Viridiplantae; Streptophyta; Magnoliopsida; Poales; Poaceae. The record is from RNAcentral.
UCAUGAACAUAGUCUAAUGUUCUUUGCAAAUUACGAUGUAGCUUGCGCUGUAGCUCUACUGUUUUUAUAUGUUCCUAGAGAAAAUUUAGUUGAAAGUUGAUAGUAGCAAACUUUGCAGACUGAGUCUGUAAAACCGAGGAUUGUCCUCGUUGCUGCGCAGAAGGCUUAUGUCCUUAAUGCAACACUCGGUGUGCUGCACCUCGAGCGUCGUCUGUGGAUGCUGUGAACAUCCGACAUACACGUUUCUGAUGACUACAUGAUAGUUCAGUGCAAAAUACUUAAAUGGCUUAGAAGCAAGGCGUCGAAGACGUUUUAAAACGUCACGGAACAUAAGUGAUGUUCUAAAGAGAUGAAAUUGUGAUUUCAUGCUUGUGCCCUUGUUAAUAGGUACGAGACCUCCAACAAGAUUCUUUGUCCACAAAGUGAAGGAGAAAAGCUCAAUCGUUGAGCAUGUGCUCAGAUUGUCUGAGUACGACAAUCACUUGAAUCAAGUGGGAGUUGAUCUUCCAGAU